Molecule: ribosomal RNA, 510 nt
Filed under: uncultured bacterium
Lineage: Bacteria
Description: partial 16S ribosomal RNA
Rfam family: Bacterial small subunit ribosomal RNA
Source: RNAcentral
GACGAACGCUGGCGGCGUGCUUAACACAUGCAAGUCGAACGAAGAGCGAUGGAAGCUUGCUUCUAUCAAUCUUAGUGGCGAACGGGUGAGUAACGCGUAAUCAACCUGCCCUUCAGAGGGGGACAACAGUUGGAAACGACUGCUAAUACCGCAUACGAUCUAAUCUCGGCAUCGAGGAUAGAUGAAAGGUGGCCUCUACAUGUAAGCUAUCACUGAAGGAGGGGAUUGCGUCUGAUUAGCUAGUUGGAGGGGUAACGGCCCACCAAGGCGAUGAUCAGUAGCCGGUCUGAGAGGAUGAGCGGCCACAUUGGGACUGAGACACGGCCCAGACUCCUACGGGAGGCAGCAGUGGGGAAUCUUCCGCAAUGGACGAAAGUCUGACGGAGCAACGCCGCGUGAGUGAUGACGGCCUUCGGGUUGUAAAGCUCCGUUAAUCGGGACGAAAGGCCUUCUUGCGAAUAGUGAGAAGGAUUGACGGUACCGGAAUAGAAAGCCACGGCUAACUACGUG